GCCAGCCACCACUUCCCAAAAGACCAACUCCCAUACAUGCAUGCAUUCAUGCAUGUUCUUUCCACAUGGAAUCUCGAUCCCAUGUAGGAUGCCUUGUUUCGGAAUGCCUUGCAUGAUGCUCAAGGGAUUGACACCUGUCAGAGUUUAGUUGGAACUUCGGAUGGGGAAGUGAGAUGAAUCCCGAUUUCUACUGUAGACUAGGGUACGAUAACUGUGGAAUCAAGU
Molecule: long non-coding RNA, 225 nt
Filed under: Elaeis guineensis (African oil palm)
Lineage: Eukaryota; Viridiplantae; Streptophyta; Magnoliopsida; Arecales; Arecaceae
Description: long non-coding RNA (EGUI_LNC003294)
Source: RNAcentral